UGAUAGUGCGAAAUAACCUUUUAUAUAUAUAUAAAAGGUAUAUAUAUAAAAGGUUAUUUCGCACUAUCA
Molecule: small RNA, 69 nt
Filed under: Salix viminalis (osier)
Lineage: Eukaryota; Viridiplantae; Streptophyta; Magnoliopsida; Malpighiales; Salicaceae
Source: RNAcentral